GAAGAAUUGUCAGACUCAGUGUUGAACAUCAGCUACUUUCUCCAGUUGCUUUAAACCUUCUUGUAGAGAUGGAACAUUGGCUGUGGAUGAUUCUUGCUGCUCUUUUCUUUGAGUGUAAAGGAGAAGACAAGGUGAUCCAGGAAACAGGAGAUGUCAUUGCUGCUGAAGGAGAGAUAGUUACACUCCCCUGUACAUUUGAGACCAGCAACCCAACUCCAACUCUGUUCUGGUACAAACAAGAAACAAAUGAUUUUCCAAAGCUUCUGCUGCAGCGCGUCUCAACAGCAGCAGGUAAUCCUGCAGAAAAACAGAAAGAGAGAAUCGAUGCUGUGGCCAACAAGACAUCAGUUCCUCUGGAGAUCCAGAAGCUUCAGCUGUCUGACUCUGCUGUGUACUACUGUGCUCUGCAGCCCACAGUGACAGGAAACAGCACAACUCUGUACAAAAACCUUUGGAGCAAAGACAACAGAAUACUCCACAACAUCCACUAG
Toxotes jaculatrix (banded archerfish) is the source of this 491-nucleotide non-coding RNA. Lineage: Eukaryota; Metazoa; Chordata; Actinopteri; Toxotidae. The record is from the annotation of a RefSeq genome assembly.